This 451-nucleotide ribosomal RNA is filed under the name uncultured organism. RNAcentral describes it as "partial 16S ribosomal RNA". It matches the Rfam family "Bacterial small subunit ribosomal RNA", at positions 329 to 797 of the family's 1533-position model. The record is from RNAcentral.
ACGUACACUCCUACGGGAGGCAGCAGUGGGGAAUAUUGGACAAUGGGCGCAAGCCUGAUCCAGCCAUGCCGCGUGAGUGAUGAAGGCCCUAGGGUUGUAAAGCUCUUUCACCGGUGAAGAUAAUGACGGUAACCGGAGAAGAAGCCCCGGCUAACUUCGUGCCAGCAGCCGCGGUAAUACGAAGGGGGCUAGCGUUGUUCGGAUUUACUGGGCGUAAAGCGCACGUAGGCGGACUAUUAAGUCAGGGGUGAAAUCCCGGGGCUCAACCCCGGAACUGCCUUUGAUACUGGUAGUCUUGAGUUCGAGAGAGGUGAGUGGAAUUCCGAGUGCAGAGGUGAAAUUCGUAGAUAUUCGGAGGAACACCAGUGGCGAAGGCGGCUCACUGGCUCGAUACUGACGCUGAGGUGCGAAAGCGUGGGGAGCAAACAGGAUUAGAAACCCCGGUAGUCCC